AUGCACUUUCUUCCCCGUCUUCCACUCUUCUUCCUCCUCUCUUCUUCUUCCUCCUCUGUUCUUCUUCCUCCUCUAUUCCCCAUCGUCGGCUGCACACCAUUUACCCCCGCUCACUGCUCACCCGCCCGCGCCAUCUUCCUUGCAGACACAAAUGCGCUGGCCUUCAUGAUCCCAGGACCUGGAAUCAUACCAGCCGAUGGGUCGAAGAAGGAUUGGCCGGUGCUGCCGGCUGGCGUCAAGUCCGAUCCCACGGAUCAGGAGCUGAUCGAGCACCUUGAGGCCAAAGUGAGUGCUGACAGCGCGAGAUUUCAGUCUCUCAUCGAUUUGUUCAUACCAACCAUCGACAGCGAGCACGGCAUAUGCUACACCCAAGCUGAGAAACUUCCAGGUAUCACACUGAGUGGCCUAAGGAAGCAUUUCUUCCAGCGCAAUUCCAGGGCAUUCAAAAGGGGCACGUGGACGCGUCGCAAGAUACAGUCGGAGUGCGGCAUGCAAGCGAUGUGGCACAAGACCGACAAUACCUUGCCGGUGAUGGUCAACGGCCGGCAAGACGGGCAGCAAAAAUGGUUCUGGUGCUGCACACCAACAAGAACUUCGACCAGCAGAGGACCAACUGGGUGA
RNAcentral lists this ribosomal RNA (621 nucleotides) under Triticum aestivum (bread wheat). Its description in RNAcentral is "partial small subunit ribosomal RNA". The record is from RNAcentral. Lineage: Eukaryota; Viridiplantae; Streptophyta; Magnoliopsida; Poales; Poaceae.